AGGUUAUAUAGUCUAAAAAGGACGUUAAAUUGCAAAUUUAAAAGUAAAUUAUUUUUAUAGCC
Molecule: transfer RNA, 62 nt
Filed under: Cryptorhynchinae sp. 7 ACP-2013
Lineage: Eukaryota; Metazoa; Arthropoda; Insecta; Coleoptera; Curculionidae
Description: tRNA-Cys
Source: RNAcentral